CGGUUUAAACUCUCCGCCGCGUCUUUCUCUCCCGAGUCCGCCGCCGCCAUGUUCGCUUCCUUCUACCACGAGUGGCGCUACGGGUGGCCGAGAGAGACAAUCAACAGGAGUCGAGACGCGUUUCGCUUAUUUCUGUGACGCAGCUCGAGGUCUGGAUUAGCGAGGAACAGCAGGAAUAACACAGGAAAACAGCAGGAAUAACAUACAGAGUUCGGUGUGUGGUCUGAGGACACAGAGGAAAACGAGGAAUAAUUCACGCCAAAAAUGUGUGGGGAAAACGAGAAGGACACAAAACACCUGCGUCUUCUGCUCGGUGACCUUCACGAAUGACCCCUGCGUGAAAAUCAGCUGUAAACGCUCGUGUGAAGAUGAGGAGGGAUUCAUUUAUACGUCGGAAUAACCCAGAGCUGGACCAGAGGGGAGUAGAGGAAGAGCUCUGAAUUGGGAAGACGGAGGUCAGCACCCGGAGAGAUUAUGGAAAACUGUGUGAGUGAGCGAAAGAGAGAGAAAGAAAGACAAAGAGACAGAGAGAAAAAGAGAGAGUGAUCUGCUGCAGUAAGACUCCGACUCUCUCUCACUCUUCACUGCAAAUCUGCCUCGAGUUCCAACAAGUCAACAAGUCACCGGAGGCUUUACACUCGGCUGACGUCUCAGAGAGUCGCCAGUCACGGCGCAGUCUGUUGUACUCGCCAACCAAAAGAGCAUCAUACUGAUUCAUCUGUCAUGCAUGUUUUUGUCUUUUUUAAAGAAAUUGUUAGACGUGAAAAUCUAAUUUGCUCCCACUGUAGUUAAAACAAGUUGAACUGCAGACCCAAAGCUAAUGUAGCUAACAAGUAAUGAAAGCUCAUCUUCCACCAAUUAGCAUCGUGCAUAAGAGUCAUCGUACAUGUGAUUCAAACAGUGGCAAUUUGUAUUAAGUGCUUAUGUAAUGAUAACUUUUGGCUUAUUGAUUAAUAGAAAGCUGUUUGAUUUUCAGGUGUCACAACUUCUGCACUUCUGGCUUUCCUGUCUUUUCUAUAAUCCACUGAGAAGGAAGUACUGUUUAUUUUUGUUUACCAGAGCCACUUCGCUACAGA
Pygocentrus nattereri (red-bellied piranha) is the source of this 1076-nucleotide long non-coding RNA. RefSeq lists it as uncharacterized. Lineage: Eukaryota; Metazoa; Chordata; Actinopteri; Characiformes; Serrasalmidae. The record is from RefSeq and is a predicted model, not a curated record. The transcript is spliced from 3 exons.